RNAcentral lists this ribosomal RNA (383 nucleotides) under uncultured eukaryote. RNAcentral's name for it is "partial 18S ribosomal RNA". It matches the Rfam family "Eukaryotic small subunit ribosomal RNA", at positions 592 to 976 of the family's 1831-position model. The record is from RNAcentral.
CAAUAGCGUAUAUUAAAGUUGUUGCAGUUAAAAAGCUCGUAGUUGGAUUUCUGGUGGGAGCGAUCGGUCUGACGCUUAGCGCGAGUACUUGCAUCGUCUCCGGCCAUCCUUGGGGAGAGUCUGUCUGGCAUUAAGUUGUCGGGCAGAGGAUCCUCAUCGUUUACUGUGAAAAAAUUAGAGUGUUCAAAGCAGGCUUAUGCCGUUGAAUAUAUUAGCAUGGAAUAAUAAGAUAGGACUUUGGUACUAUUUUGUUGGUUUGCGCACCAAAGUAAUGAUUAAUAGGGACAGUUGGGGGUAUUCGUAUUCCGUUGUCAGAGGUGAAAUUCUUGGAUUUACGGAAGACGAACUACUGCGAAAGCAUUUACCAAGGAUGUUUUCAUUAA